Molecule: ribosomal RNA, 447 nt
Filed under: uncultured bacterium
Lineage: Bacteria
Description: bacterial SSU rRNA
Rfam family: Bacterial small subunit ribosomal RNA
Source: RNAcentral
UCGGGAAUUUUGGGCAAUGGGGGAAACCCUGACCCAGCAACGCCGCGUGAAGGAUGAAGUAUUUCGGUAUGUAAACUUCGAAAGAAUAGGAAGAAUAAAUGACGGUACUAUUUAUAAGGUCCGGCUAACUACGUGCCAGCAGCCGCGGUAAUACGUAGGGACCAAGCGUUGUUCGGAUUUACUGGGCGUAAAGGGCGCGUAGGCGGCAUGACAAGUCACUUGUGAAAUCUCUGGGCUUAACCCAGAACGGCCAAGUGAAACUGUCAUGCUAGAGUGCAGAAGGGGCAAUCGGAAUUCUUGGUGUAGCGGUGAAAUGCGUAGAUAUCAAGAGGAACACCUGAGGUGAAGACGGGUUGCUGGGCUGACACUGACGCUGAGGCGCGAAAGCCAGGGGAGCAAACGGGAUUAGAUACCCGCGUAGUCCCUGAGCGGGCUGGCAAGGCGCAU